RNAcentral lists this ribosomal RNA (468 nucleotides) under uncultured bacterium. RNAcentral describes it as "partial 16S ribosomal RNA". It matches the Rfam family "Bacterial small subunit ribosomal RNA", at positions 28 to 507 of the family's 1533-position model. The record is from RNAcentral.
GACGAACGCUGGCGGCGUGCUUAACACAUGCAAGUCGAACGGAAAGGCCCUGCUUUUGUGGGGUGCUCGAGUGGCGAACGGGUGAGUAACACGUGAGUAACCUGCCCUUGACUUUGGGAUAACUUCAGGAAACUGGGGCUAAUACCGGAUAGGAUCUCCUGCUGCAUGGUGGGGGUUGGAAAGUUUCGGCGGUUGGGGAUGGACUCGCGGCUUAUCAGCUUGUUGGUGGGGUAGUGGCUUACCAAGGCUUUGACGGGUAGCCGGCCUGAGAGGGUGACCGGGCACAUUGGGACUGCGAUACGGCCCAGACUCCUACGGGGGGCAGCAGUGGGGAAUAUGGCACAAUGGGCGGAAGCCGGAGGCAGAAACGCCGCGUGCGGGAUGACGGCCUUCGGGUUGUAAACCGCUUUCGCCUGUGACGAAGCGUGAGUGACGGUAAUGAGUAAAGAAGCACCGGCUAACUACGUG